UGGGGAAUAUUGCACAAUGGACGGAAGUUUGAUGCAGCGACGCCGCGUGGAGGGUGUAGGCCUUCGGGUUGUGAACUCCUUUUUCUUGCGAAAAAGGCACAGUUUUGGCUGUGUUGAUGGUAGUGGGUGAAGAAGCGCCGGCUAACUACGUUCCAGCAGCCGCGGUAAUACGUAGGGCGCGAGCGUUGUCCGGAGUUAUUGGGCGUAAAGAGCUCGUAGGUGGUUCGUCGCGUCUGUCGUGAAAGCCAGCAGCUUAACUGUGGGUCUGCGGUGGGUACGGGAGGGCUUGAGUGCGGUAGGGGUGACUGGAAUUCCUGGUGUAGCGGUGGAAUGCGCAGAUAUCAGGAGGAACACCGAUGGCGAAGGCAGGUCACUGGGCCGUUACUGACACUGAGGAGCGAAAACGUGGGGAGCGAACAGG
Molecule: ribosomal RNA, 421 nt
Filed under: Fusobacteriota bacterium
Lineage: Bacteria; Fusobacteriati; Fusobacteriota
Description: Fusobacteria bacterium partial 16S ribosomal RNA
Rfam family: Bacterial small subunit ribosomal RNA
Source: RNAcentral